CCAGACUCCUACGGGAGGCAGCAGUGAGGAAUAUUGGUCAAUGGGCGAGAGCCUGAACCAGCCAAGUCGCGUGAAGGACGACGGUUCUAUGGAUUGUAAACUUCUUUUGUAGAGGAAUAAUGGCAGCUACGCGUAGCUGAGAUGCAUGUACUCUACGAAUAAGUAUCGGCUAACUCCGUGCCAGCAGCCGCGGUAAUACGGAGGAUGCGAGCGUUAUCCGGAUUUAUUGGGUUUAAAGGGUGCGUAGGUGGGCUGUUAAGUCCGCGGUGAAAGUUUGUCGCUUAACGAUAAAAUUGCCGUUGAAACUGGUAGUCUUGAGUAUAGAUGAAGUAGGCGGAAUGCGUGGUGUAGCGGUGAAAUGCAUAGAGAUCACGCAGAACUCCGAUUGCGAAGGCAGCUUACUAAGGUAUAACUGACACUGAAGCACGAAAGCGUGGGUAUCAAACAGGAUUAGAUACCCUGGUAGUCCACACAGUAAACGAUGAAUACUAGAUUUUUGCGAUAUAGUGUAAGAGUCUAAGCGAAAGCGAUAAGUAUUCCACCUGGGGAGUACGCCGGCAACGGUGAAACUCAAGGAAUUGACGGGGGCCCGCACAAG
This 598-nucleotide ribosomal RNA is filed under the name uncultured bacterium. RNAcentral describes it as "bacterial SSU rRNA". It matches the Rfam family "Bacterial small subunit ribosomal RNA", at positions 331 to 929 of the family's 1533-position model. The record is from RNAcentral.